This 363-nucleotide transfer-messenger RNA is filed under the name mine drainage metagenome. RNAcentral describes it as "transfer-messenger RNA, SsrA". It matches the Rfam family "transfer-messenger RNA". From Rfam's summary of the family: Bacterial tmRNA, also known as 10Sa RNA or SsrA, is named for its dual tRNA and mRNA-like properties. Its role is to liberate the mRNA from a stalled ribosome. The record is from RNAcentral.
GGGGGCGACAUGGCUUCGACGUGGGUUGCGAAGCAGAUGCAGUGCAUACCGAGGACCAGACUACCUCGUAAAUCCAUCUGGAAAACCACAAACGCCAACGACGAGCGUUUCGCUCUAGCCGCUUAAUACCGGCUGGCUCUGCACCGGUUUGCUGAUGGGCCGGGUUGCGCAAGCAGCAGCAGAGUCAUUCACAUCAGCUAAGGAUCUGCCCCGCCGCGUGGCAGACCACGAAAACUCAGCGGAUCGCUUGUGCUCAGCCUGCCCGGCGGCGGAGUACCGGUCAAAUCAAAUGACGAGGCUAAGUAUGUAGUACUGCCUGUAGAGAACUUGCGGACGCGGGUUCGAUUCCCGCCGCCUCCACCA